This 136-nucleotide transfer RNA is filed under the name Equus caballus (horse). RNAcentral describes it as "partial transfer RNA-Thr". The record is from RNAcentral. Lineage: Eukaryota; Metazoa; Chordata; Mammalia; Perissodactyla; Equidae.
AGGUCCUUGGGAGAAACGUUAUCCCCCUUUUCGGGUUUAAAAACCGGGGAUAGUGGACGACGCACAUCACCCUGGUGUUGCUAUACCUAGCAUCUAGUUCACGCACAUCACCCGGGUGGGGCUAUACAUGGGCGGC